RNAcentral lists this ribosomal RNA (485 nucleotides) under uncultured Streptococcus sp. Its description in RNAcentral is "bacterial SSU rRNA". It matches the Rfam family "Bacterial small subunit ribosomal RNA", at positions 28 to 468 of the family's 1533-position model. The record is from RNAcentral. Lineage: Bacteria; Bacillati; Bacillota; Bacilli; Lactobacillales; Streptococcaceae.
CCUAUCCCUGUCGUGCCUUCGCCUCCACGACUCGGCCGCGUCGACGAACGCUGGCGGCGUGCCUAAUACAUGCAAGUAGAACGCUGAAGAGAGGAGCUUGCUCUUCUUGGAUGAGUUGCGAACGGGUGAGUAACGCGUAGGUAACCUGCCUUGUAGCGGGGGAUAACUAUUGGAAACGAUAGCUAAUACCGCAUAACAAUGGAUGACACAUGUCAUUUAUUUGAAAGGGGCAAUUGCUCCACUACAAGAUGGACCUGCGUUGUAUUAGCUAGUAGGUGAGGUAACGGCUCACCUAGGCGACGAUACAUAGCCGACCUGAGAGGGUGAUCGGCCACACUGGGACUGAGACACGGCCCAGACUCCUACGGGAGGCAGCAGUAGGGAAUCUUCGGCAAUGGGGCAAACCCUAGAACCGAAGACAAACGACCGACGUAGAAGUAGAAAGAAAGGUUUACGGAAUACGUAAAAGACUCUGUUGUAAGUCA